GCCAGACACAGUGACACAGACCUAUACUCCUAGCUACUUCAAAGGCUGAGGCAGGAGGAUUGCUUGAGCACAGGAGUUCUGGGCUAUAGUGUGUUAUACUGAUCAGUUGUCUGCACUAAUUUUGGAAUCAAUAUAGUGAUGUCCCAGGAGCCAGGGACCACCAGGUUGCCUAAGGAGGGGUUAACCAGCCCAGACUGGAGUAGGAGCAAGUCAAAAUUCCCAUGCUGAUCAGUCAUGGGAUCGUGCCUGUAAAUGGCAACUGCACUUUAGCCUGGGCAACAUAGCAAGACACUGUCUCUA
Molecule: unclassified non-coding RNA, 300 nt
Organism: Callithrix jacchus (white-tufted-ear marmoset)
Lineage: Eukaryota; Metazoa; Chordata; Mammalia; Primates; Cebidae
Rfam family: Metazoan signal recognition particle RNA
About the family: The signal recognition particle (SRP) is a universally conserved ribonucleoprotein. It is involved in the co-translational targeting of proteins to membranes.
Source: Ensembl